AACGUAGGAGACAAACGUUAUCCGGAGUUACUGGGCGUAAAGGGCGUGUAGGUGGUUUUGUAAGUCUGGCGUGAAAUUUUUCGGCUUAACCGGGAAAGGUCGUCGGAUACUGCAGGACUAGAGGACGGUAGAGGCGUGUGGAAUUCCGGGUGUAGUGGUGAAAUGCGUAGAGAUCCGGAGGAACCCCAGAGGCGAAGGCGGCGCCCUGGCUCGCAACUGACGCUCAGACACGACAGCAUGGGGAGCGAACGGG
Molecule: ribosomal RNA, 253 nt
Filed under: uncultured bacterium
Lineage: Bacteria
Description: partial 16S ribosomal RNA
Rfam family: Bacterial small subunit ribosomal RNA
Source: RNAcentral